This 478-nucleotide ribosomal RNA is filed under the name uncultured bacterium. RNAcentral's name for it is "partial 16S ribosomal RNA". It matches the Rfam family "Bacterial small subunit ribosomal RNA", at positions 28 to 507 of the family's 1533-position model. The record is from RNAcentral.
GAUGAACGCUGGCGGCGUGCUUAACACAUGCAAGUCGAACGGGAAAUAUUUCAUUGAGACUUCGGUGGAUUUGAUUUAUUUCUAGUGGCGGACGGGUGAGUAACGCGUGGGUAACCUGCCUUAUACAGGGGGAUAACAGUCAGAAAUGGCUGCUAAUACCGCAUAAGCGCACAGAGCUGCAUGGCUCAGUGUGAAAAACUCCGGUGGUAUAAGAUGGACCCGCGUUGGAUUAGCUAGUUGGUGGGGUAACGGCCCACCAAGGCGACGAUCCAUAGCCGGCCUGAGAGGGUGAACGGCCACAUUGGGACUGAGACACGGCCCAGACUCCUACGGGAGGCAGCAGUGGGGAAUAUUGCCCAAUGGGGGAAACCCUGAUGCAGCGACGCCGCGUGAAGGAAGAAGUAUCUCGGUAUGUAAACUUCUAUCAGCAGGGAAGAUAGUGACGGUACCUGACUAAGAAGCCCCGGCUAACUACGUG